This 730-nucleotide ribosomal RNA is filed under the name uncultured bacterium. RNAcentral's name for it is "SSU rRNA". It matches the Rfam family "Bacterial small subunit ribosomal RNA", at positions 666 to 1396 of the family's 1533-position model. The record is from RNAcentral.
AUUCCCGGUGUAGCGGUGAAAUGCGUAGAUAUCGGGAAGAACACCAGUGGCGAAGGCGCUCUGCUGGGCCAUCACUGACGCUCAUGGACGAAAGCCAGGGGAGCGAAAGGGAUUAGAUACCCCUGUAGUCCUGGCCGUAAACGAUGAACACUAGGUGUCGGGGGAAUCGACCCCUCCGGUGUCGUAGCCAACGCGUUAAGUGUUCCGCCUGGGGGGUACGCACGCAAGUGUGAAACUCAAAGGAAUUGACGGGGGCCCGCACAAGCGGUGGAGUAUGUGGUUUAAUUCGAUGCAACGCGAAGAACCUUACCAGGGUUUGACAUCCUGCGAAUCUCUUGGAAACUUGAGAGUGCCUUCGGGAGCGCAGUGACAGGUGGUGCAUGGCUGUCGUCAGCUCGUGCCGUGAGAUGUUGGGUUAAGUCCCGCAACGAGCGCAACCCACGUCUUUAGUUGCCAGCAUUUAGUUGGGCACUCUAGAGAGACCGCCGGUGAUAAACCGGAGGAAGGUGUGGAUGACGUCAAGUCAUCAUGCCCCUUACAUCCUGGGCUACACACGUACAACAAUGCUACGGACAAAGGGCAGCAAGUUCGCGAGGACAAGCAAAUCCCAUAAACCGUGGCUCAGUUCAGAUCGUAGGCUGCAACUCGCCUACGUGAAGGAGGAAUCGCUAGUAAUCGCAGGUCAGCAUACUGCGGUGAAUACGUUCCCGCCUCUUGCACACACCGCCCG